AGUGAACGCUGGCGGUAGGCCUAACACAUGCAAGUCGAACGGCAGCACAGUAAGAGCUAGCUCUUACGGGUGGCGAGUGGCGGACGGGUGAGGAAUACAUCGGAAUCUACUUUUUCGUGGGGGAUAACGUAGGGAAACUUACGCUAAUACCGCAUACGACCUACGGGUGAAAGCAGGGGAUCUUCGGACCUUGCGCGAUUGAAUGAGCCGAUGUCGGAUUAGCUAGUUGGCGGGGUAAAGGCCCACCAAGGCGACGAUCCGUAGCUGGUCUGAGAGGAUGAUCAGCCACACUGGAACUGAGACACGGUCCAGACUCCUACGGGAGGCAGCAGUGGGGAAUAUUGGACAAUGGGCGCAAGCCUGAUCCAGCCAUACCGCGUGGGUGAAGAAGGCCUUCGGGUUGUAAAGCCCUUCUGUUGGGAAAGAAAAGCAGCAGGUUAAUACCCCGCUGUUCUGACGGUACCCAAAGAAUAAGCACCGGCUAACUUCGUG
Molecule: ribosomal RNA, 492 nt
Filed under: uncultured bacterium
Lineage: Bacteria
Description: partial 16S ribosomal RNA
Rfam family: Bacterial small subunit ribosomal RNA
Source: RNAcentral